Pecten maximus is the source of this 1207-nucleotide long non-coding RNA. RefSeq lists it as uncharacterized. The record is from RefSeq and is a predicted model, not a curated record. The transcript has 3 exons. Lineage: Eukaryota; Metazoa; Mollusca; Bivalvia; Pectinida; Pectinidae.
AAACAAAUACUUCUGCGUACCUUUGCGCAUGCGCGAUGCGGGAAAUUGGAAACAUCAUAACAAAAAUGGCGAACACCCGAUCUAAGUGGAAGGGUCCUGAAUCAGUUUUAACCGAGAGCAAGAAGAAACGAAUAAUCGAGAACGUGAUUUUAACUUCACAAAGACGAACACGUAUCUUAGAGACAGAGCAAGCAGAUGGCAUCAGUUAAAAAAGACCGAAGGGAUUAAAACAGACCCUCCUUUGGCCAAGCUAAUGCCUUGAACAGUUUUGAAAGCAAGCCUGAGAUCUAGAGCGUACGUAUAAUGUAGAUCUGGUCAUAAAGAAACUGAAGCCAAGCAAUGAAGAUGACCACAGGCGACAUGGAGUACAUGCAGCCACUACGGACGACACUAUUACUAGUCGCACUUAGAUAUCACAGGAUUUAUAACACAAAAGUUCUUGGAGGACAAAAAGUGCCGUACAAGGUGGAAAGGACAUACCAACACAUCCAGGGACUCAUCAAUCUGAUAGUGGCCAACAGAAUAACAGAUAGAACUGGAAUAUCUAGCCAAAACCCUUGCAUCAAAUAGAUCCCAGAAGAUUCAAACUCCUAGCCCAUGCUCCUCCACCAUCUACUGCCCAAAUGGUAGAGGAGAAGAAAUCCCAAUUAAGAUGAAUGGGAAUAAUUGACAUUUUGAGACUAAUCACGUUCCAGAGACUAUUACUUUUGAAUAUCUGUCCUUACGUUUAGUAGCUGACCUGGUCCGAAGGACCAAGGUGAGUAUGCCAUACUGAGGCGUCCGGCAUUCGUCUGUCAACAUUGUGAACACAAUAUUUGAAUAACUUGAGUAAAUGUCAGAAUAUACCAAAUUUAAUAAAACUUUAUAAGCAGCCAUAUAUCGACAAGAUCUCAGACAACUUCAAAAAUGGAAAUUAUUGGACAGUAGUUUUUGACAGUAGUUUGCAGAGUUAUUGCCCUUUGUAAUGGUCUUAUUAUUAACAUUUUUUUAGUUCACUGGUCAGAAUGGAAACUCUUUUAGAAAUUCUACUAGUCCUGAACAAUUAAAUGGAUUUGAUGAAAUUUGGUCAGGAGAAUUAUGUGGCAAUGUUAUAUGUUGCAUAAAUGAAGCGUCACCAUCAUCUGAGUGGCACCUUUCGGGGCAAAAUAAGAGAAUUACCUGGUAUAGCAAAAAAAAAAAGGAUUUAACUCAUUUUUUUUUUCAAGAA